UCGAUUCCCUUAGUAGCGGCGAGCGAAACGGGAAGAGCCCAAACCAACAAGCUUGCUUGUUGGGGUUGUAGGACACUCUAUACGGAGUUACAAAGGACGACAUUAGACGAAUCAUCUGGAAAGAUGAAUCAAAGAAGGUAAUAAUCCUGUAGUCGAAAAUGUUGUCUCUCUUGAGUGGAUCCUGAGUACGACGGAGCACGUGAAAUUCCGUCGGAAUCUGGGAGGACCAUCUCCUAAGGCUAAAUACUCUCUAGUGACCGAUAGUGAACCAGUACCGUGAGGGAAAGGUGAAAAGCACCCCGGAAGGGGAGUGAAAUAGAACCUGAAACCGUGUGCUUACAAGUAGUCAGAGCCCGUUAAUGGGUGAUGGCGUGCCUUUUGUAGAAUGAACCGGCGAGUUACGAUUUGAUGCAAGGUUAAGCAGUAAAUGUGGAGCCGUAGCGAAAGCGAGUCUGAAUAGGGCGUUUAGUAUUUGGUCGUAGACCCGAAACCAGGUGAUCUACCCUUGGUCAGGUUGAAGUUCAGGUAACACUGAAUGGAGGACCGAACCGACUUACGUUGAAAAGUGAGCGGAUGAACUGAGGGUAGCGGAGAAAUUCCAAUCGAACCUGGAGAUAGCUGGUUCUCUCCGAAAUAGCUUUAGGGCUAGCCUCAAGUGAUGAUUAUUGGAGGUAGAGCACUGUUUGGACGAGGGGCCCCUCUCGGGUUACCGAAUUCAGACAAACUCCGAAUGCCAAUUAAUUUAACUUGGGAGUCAGAACAUGGGUGAUAAGGUCCGUGUUCGAAAGGGAAACAGCCCAGACCACCAGCUAAGGUCCCAAAAUAUAUGUUAAGUGGAAAAGGAUGUGGCGUUGCCCAGACAACUAGGAUGUUGGCUUAGAAGCAGCCAUCAUUUAAAGAGUGCGUAAUAGCUCACUAGUCGAGUGACACUGCGCCGAAAAUGUACCGGGGCUAAACAUAUUACCGAAGCUGUGGAUUGUCCUUUGGACAAUGGUAGGAGAGCGUUCUAAGGGCGUUGAAGCAUGAUCGUAAGGACAUGUGGAGCGCUUAGAAGUGAGAAUGCCGGUGUGAGUAGCGAAAGACGGGUGAGAAUCCCGUCCACCGAUUGACUAAGGUUUCCAGAGGAAGGCUCGUCCGCUCUGGGUUAGUCGGGUCCUAAGCUGAGGCCGACAGGCGUAGGCGAUGGAUAACAGGUUGAUAUUCCUGUACCACCUAUAAUCGUUUUAAUCGAUGGGGGGACGCAGUAGGAUAGGCGAAGCGUGCGAUUGGAUUGCACGUCUAAGCAGUAAGGCUGAG
RNAcentral lists this ribosomal RNA (1296 nucleotides) under Staphylococcus aureus. Its description in RNAcentral is "partial 23S ribosomal RNA". It matches the Rfam family "Bacterial large subunit ribosomal RNA", at positions 231 to 1529 of the family's 2925-position model. The record is from RNAcentral. Lineage: Bacteria; Bacillati; Bacillota; Bacilli; Caryophanales; Staphylococcaceae.